AUUGAACGCUGGCGGCAUGCUUUACACAUGCAAGUCGAACGGCAGCGCGGGCUUCGGCCUGGCGGCGAGUGGCGAACGGGUGAGUAAUGCAUCGGAACGUGCCCAGUCGUGGGGGAUAGCCCGGCGAAAGGCGGCUUUAUACCGCAUACGACCUGAGGGUGAAAGCGGGGGACCGAACUGCCUCGCGCCAUUGGCGCGGCCGCUGUCGGAUUAGCCAGUUGGUGGGGUAAAGGCUUACCAAGGCGACGAUCCGUAGCUGGUCUGAGAGGACGACCAGCCACACUGGGACUGAGACACGGCCCAGACUCCUACGGGAGGCAGCAGUGGGGAAUUUUGGACAAUGGGGGCAACCCUGAUCCAGCCAUGCCGCGUGCGGGAAGAAGGCCUUCGGGUUGUAAACCGCUUUUGUUCGGGAAGAAAUCCUCUGGGCUAAUACCCCGGGGGGAUGACGGUACCGGAAGAAUAAGCACCGGCUAACUACGUG
This 484-nucleotide ribosomal RNA is filed under the name uncultured bacterium. RNAcentral describes it as "partial 16S ribosomal RNA". It matches the Rfam family "Bacterial small subunit ribosomal RNA", at positions 28 to 507 of the family's 1533-position model. The record is from RNAcentral.